Pipra filicauda (Wire-tailed manakin) is the source of this 2921-nucleotide long non-coding RNA. RefSeq lists it as uncharacterized. The transcript has 2 exons. NCBI's taxonomy places the organism in Eukaryota, Metazoa, Chordata, Aves, Passeriformes, Pipridae. The record is from RefSeq and is a predicted model, not a curated record.
CCGGCCGGCGGCAGGGGCGAGCAGGUCGCGGCGCCGCAGCCGCUGUCAGCGCCGCUACAUCCUCCCCGGCCCGCUUCCGCCUCCGUCAUCCCGGCACGCCGGGAACGCGGCUCCCGGCCCGCUGCGCUCCGCGUGUCCGUCACCGAGCACCGCCCCGGGGGCGGGCGGGCCCUGUGCCGGGGCGCAGCUGUGCAUGGCUGGGUGCCCCGGCGGCGUAACCGGCCUAAGACGGACGUGAACUGGGAAGCGCAGGGCUCCUGAGGGGAACACGGUGCUGCAGGCAGGAGUGUCUCUCGCUGUCACCGUCGGGAGAACAUGACGUGAAGAGCGAAGUGCUCAGGCAGAAGCUUGACGAUUCAAGACCCUGUUUUAAAUAUCUUGAUGGAAGCAGAGUGAUUAAGUUGUUUAUCAAGUAAAUGCGGCGGGUGACAAGAGGAUGGUGCCAGACUGUUUUCGGUGGUGCCCAGCCACAGGACGAGGAGCAAUGGCCAGAAACUAAAAUAUAAGAAGUUUCACCUCAACAUGAGGAAGAACUUUACACUGAGGGUGGCAGAGCACUGGAACAGGCUGCCCAGGGAGGUUGUGGAGUCUCCUCCUUUGAAGGCAUUCCAAACCCACUUGGAUGCGUUCCUGUAUAGCCUGCUCUAGGUGACCCUGCCUUUGCAGGAAGGUUAGACUAGAUGAUCCCCAGAGGUCCCUUCCAACACUAAGUGUUCUGUCAUUCUGUAAAUUUAAAAACGAAGGUGAAGGACUUCCAGAGCAAUUAGCAGAAGCCAGAUAUUAUGGCUUGUAGUUAAGUGUUUUUUAAGAGACAUUUCUUAUGCCAGUUUGGGUAGGUAUUUGAGGGAACUGAUAACUACUUUAAAGGGUACACAUUUUUCAUUGUAAUCAUGCAUGCACUUUGGUAGUGCCUGAAUUAUUUUUCACAUUUCAUGAUAAGUAAUUGAUUUUUAAUGAGAAGUUGCCUGAGAGAAACAAUUUAGGCGUAUUUAUGGUUCACUGGAUAAAUACUGAAUAUCACCAAAUUAAUUAUAAUGUCAUGAGAGAAUAUAUUUUAAUUUAAAAAAUGAGAGUCAUAUUAGUCAACGUGCUGCUCUCAGAAGAAUAAUUUACAUUUUUCCAAGUCCGCUUACAGUCAUUCUUUUAAAUUGCAAAUGGCAACUAAUGACAAAAGACAGAAAGGUUUUUCACAUAUACCUCAGAAAUUGUUUCCUUUUUUCUUUUUCCCCUCCAAUGCAUUCACUGUACAUUAUAUAUAUUUACUGUGUAUUGUAAUCUAUGCAGGUACACAACUGUGCCAGGAACAUAUGGUUCCAUGGUCACACAGAUUGCUGGUGAGGAACAGAUGUCCCUAACCAAACAGCAAGAAGCUGUUUUUUCAUUACUUCUCUUAUACUUUUUAGAAGCCUCAUAGGGCAUUGAACAGGUUAAUUCUUCCUUUCCCCUUCCCCUUUGGGAUACUCUGAACCAAGUACCUACACCUGUGCUGCCAUGAUCUAACAUGGGUGUUUGACACAAUUUCAAGAAGACCGUUUCUAGAUACAGUCCUUCCAAAACCAUUCUUAGCUAAAGCUUUUCUACCAAACUAUGGAAAACCCUAGAGAAAACAAUGUUUCAUGCAAAUUUGCUCCUUCCAUCUGUCCUCAGAAAGUAUGUAUUAUAAUCCAGCUCUUGGGUCAUCUCAUGUCUUAGCCUAUAAAGAAAUUGAUUUUGGAGACAAUCCAAGGCAGAUAGAAAAGAGUUUUCAGAUGUAUUUGUACUGAAGACUGGCUCACUCAUCCCAGGCUUUUUGGGGAUUCUGACUGGGGACUACUCAUCCCCACCGUUCCCUGUUCCUGUCAGACAAGUACUUGACAGAGACAGACCAGUUCUCCCCUCCCACCCCCCUCCAUUUUGUGCAAUAGAAUUUAGGUAUAUUUAACGUUUGAUAUUGUCUUGACAGUCUUUUGUUCUGGUCCUGAAUUGCAAAAGCAAGUGCAAAGCAUCCUGAUUAGGGAAUGGUACAAAAAUUAAAAAAAAUUUCUAGAAUAACUAGAAGAAAAAAGAUUGAGAAUUUUGACUUCGAUUGUUUUGGUUUGUUACAAUAAACUGUACAUUGCUCCAUAUUUUGUGGGGAAAAAAGUGUCAAUUCGUACCUGUAAUAGUCUUACAUAGUUUUCUUAAACAGUUUAUGAAUUGCAUGUCUUACAUAUCUAGAAGGAGCCAGUAAGUUGAUACAUAAUAAUUCAUGCAUCUAAUUUGAAACAAGAUAAGUGAGAAAAACUAGAAUAAUUUACAUGCUCCCUAUAUCCUGUGAUUUUAUUAUCUUCGUAAAAGAGAAUUAGUUAAUCUUUUAAAAUAACAUCGUUUAUGUAAAACAAGAUUGUCAGGACAUUUAUGAGAUGUGUUGGGGCAGAGCAUAACAAACUUUCAAUCCUGCUUUCAUUGGGAAGCUAAGUCCCACGAGGCUGUGAUUAGCCCUUACAUCAAGGCAGGGUGCAAAUGCUUGUUCACUAUCACUGGAAUUAUUAGACUUGCAAGAAUUUUCUAAAGAGCACAGAAUGAGAAAAUUACUGUAAUUUUGCAGCUGAGGAAUGUGUUUUCAGCAUACAAGAGCUGAUACUUUAAAUACUUGCCACUGUAGAAUCUGCCUUUGCAACAGAUUGUGAAGAUCGCAAACUCCUGCUUGUGAACCAUGCUGGGCCAGAGUUCUUGCUUUGAGCUACUUCUGUGGCUUUUUUAUAUGCCACAUUAGUAUAAAGGAAAGCAACAUAUGAAUUUGCAGUAUGUUAACUAUUCUUCUCUGUUUGGAAACUUAAAGUAUUCCCCCUACUCUGUGUAAAUGAACUGUAUAUUAUUUGGCUGACUAUGGCCAUUUUGUUGGGUUGGGUUGGUGGAAUGGUAAAGUGAAAAAAGUUAAAAGUUAUUAAUCUCAGUACUAA